AAAAAAAAGCCGGGGGGGUGGGCUGGGGGAUGUGGCUCUGUGCUUAGGCAUCCUUGGCUUCAGUCCCAGGUACCAAAAAACAAAUGUGUUAAGACUAAUGACAAUAAGUUCAAGUUACUUAUGAGAAAUUUAAAAUAUACUAAUCUGUUAUGCAUGAUUCAUAGAGAAGAAAGGUUGCAAGUCUUGCAUGCUUGACUGCCUGUGAAAGGAUGUGGCUGCAUAUUAAAAUGUGCAAGACUGUCAUUUCCACUAAUGCAUCAAUUUGGGCUUUCAAAAGAAAUACGUACAAAGACAGCCUAACCUUGCAUGAUUUCUCCCUUUCUCCUUCACUUCUCCUUAUUUCAUUUAUCUUUGAAACCACUGAACUAGAUGAAUUCCAUAGACUUAAUAGAGCUGAUAUGACUGAAACAGUCCCAUAGAUUCCAGAAGGAGCCGGGUGCUCUGGUGAAGGAGUGUAUGCUGCCCCCCCGCUGCAGAUCUCAACAUAGUUCUUGGUCACCAUCAAAAAUGAGCAUUUUGGGGGCUGGGGAGAUAGCUCAGUCAGUAGAGUGCUUGCCUUGUAAGCACAAGGCCCUGGGCUCGAUCCCCAGCACCAAAAAAAAAAAAAAAAAAAAAAGCAUUUUUCUUUACAAAGAAAAACAGGCCAUGAUUAGAAUCUUUGUGUAAAAGGCGAUCUGAGUAAAUGAGAUACAACAUUUCUAUGUAGAAUCACUAAGGUGUCAGUUCUAUCUAAAAAUGUAAUGCAGCCAGGUGCAGGGUUCACACCUGUAAUCCCAGUGACGGGAGUCUGAGGCAGGAGGAUCACAGGUUCCAGGGAAAUCUGGGCAACUUGGUAAGACCCUGUCUCAGAUAAAAUAUGAAAAGGGCUGAGGACGUAGGUCAGUGGUGUAGCAUCCCUGGGUUCAAUCUCCAAUACAAAAAGAAAAAAGCCAAAUAUUCAACCUAAUGUUACUUCCUCCUCACAAAAUCCACUAAAGAAUCCCUUGUCAUAAAUACAUUUGAAUGAGCAUAACAUGAACCUGUGUGUAUAUAUGUAGCAUUGGGAAGCUCAGUGAGGUCACUCUUGCACUGGUGACCAUGACUGUUCCCAGGCUAGGAAGGGAAUUUAAGCUUUUUUUUUUCCCCCUGUUGGGGUGCUGGGGAUUGAACCCAGGACUUGAUCUUGCGAGGCAAGCACUCUACCAACUGAGCUAUCUCCCCAGCCUGAAUUUGAGCUUUUUAAUACACUUAUGUCUGUAUGCUUUUGAGAUUUUUUUUAAAACAAGCAUAUAACUUUGUUCGAAAUUUUGAAACCAGGUCUGGGAAUGUGACUCUGGUGGAGUGUUUGCCUAGCAUGCGGAAGGCCCUGAAUUCAAUCCCCUGGGCAUCAAAACCAUAGGGAGAAAAAAAUCCAGUCUGGGAUCCGCUUAUGUCUAUUUAGAGUUGAACCAGAGAUUCUUGAAAAAAGUUAAGGGUCUUGGCAGGGAACAUAUCUCAGUAUUUAGAGCGCUUGCCUGACAAUCUCAAAGUCCUGGGUUCUAUCCCCAGUACCGCAAGAGUUUAGAGACCCGUGUUCCCCUCUGAGGGCCACUUGGGCACACGCCUUAGUGCACGAGACCCAGAGCAAAUCUGGAGUUUGGAGCUGCUCUGGGGUUAUCUGAACCCUCCUGCAGUAAUGUGAACCCCCCAGCUGGCCAAGAAUCAGGUAGCAGGUUGAGGAGCAGGAUCCCCAACCUGGAACUCUGCACGCAGGCAGAAGGUUCCAGGGGCGUGGCUCAUCUGUUGUAGUUUCUGGAAAACAUCCUGCAGUCUGCUCUUGAUGAUCUCUGCCAUGCCGUGGCCAGCAAAGGAACAGCAUGAAGAAGCAGUACGGGGGCAAAGGGCAAGUGGCCAGCAAAGUAGGGACAGCUCGCCCUCCGCACAGUCCCUCCCGCACCCACACCCUUGCAGGACUCAGGCGGGGCACUGGAGGAGCUGGCUUCUACCUUCUCAGGCCCUACACUCUCCCUCUUUCCCCUCCCACCAUCCCUCUGGGAAGAGAGUUCCCACAGUGGACUUUGCUCCACCUGGGGUGGCCAAGUGGGGAAGGACUUAGCCUGACUGCAGAGGACACGAGGCAUCUGGAUCUUUUGUUUGUUGUUUGUUGUUGAUUUUCUCAGUCUCCAACUGCGUUAUGUAGGGAAGAGAUUUUGGAUGGGGGUCAAUACUGACUUUGGGACUUGUACUGUUUUUUUUGCUUUUGUUUUGGUACUGGGGUUUGAACCGAGGCUGCUGUACCACUGAACUAUACACCCAACCUUCUUUAUUUUUUUGAGACCGAGUUUUGCCAGAUCAUCCAGACUGGCCUCAAACUUUUCAGUGGCUAGGAUCAUAGGUGUGUACUGCUGUGCCUGGCUUUGGCUUUGGGACUCCUUGCUGGUUUAUCCCAAGGUUCUCCAGAAAGCACAGGAAAUAAAAUAAAAGCAACCUAAUAUGGCCUACUCUGCAGCUCCCGCUCACACUGCACGAACAAGGUUCACCAUGGGGGUUCCGUGGACAGCAGGUGUGGGCAUCCAGAAUGGAGAGUCUGUUCAUUCAUUCACAGCAGGUGUAAGGACGGCCAUGUGUCUGGCCAAGGGGUUAGGGUACACCAGUCAGCAGGCAGAUUCCCUGCCCUCUUGGAGCUUACGUUCUGCUGAGGAGGCAAGCAAGCAGAUUUUGGAUGGGGGUCAAAAAUGACAUGGCACAGCUUCAGGAAGUGGUGUUACAAAGAAAACUAACAGAGGUUAAGGAGCUAGGAAACAGUAGUGUAGUGUCGUCUUGACUAGGAUGCUUCAAUGAAUGCUGUUCAGGGACAAUGUCAUUUCAGAAAAGACAGAGGAAAGGAACCAUGGGAAAGGCUGGGAGAAAAGCACUCUGAUCUGAGGACACAGCAUGUGCAAAGGCCCUGAGGAAGAGCUGAGUCAGUUUUAGUGAAGAAGUUGGGGUUGAGGAGAAAGAAGUGGGUAGGAACCACAUCACAAUGAGACUGGGUUUUAUUCUGGGAGUGACAGGAGAGUAUUUAAGGGUUUCAAAUAGAUAAUUAAUGUUCUCUAGUUUACUUUUUUUUUUGGGGGGGGGCUACUUGGGAUUAAACCCAGGUUGCUGAACCACUGAGCUACAUCCCCUAAGUUCAACUUAGCACCUCGCUAAGUUGCUGAGGCUGGUUUUGAAUUCGGGAUCCUCCUGCCUCAGCCUUCCCAGCCACUGGGAUUACAGGUGUGCUCCAUGAUGCCAGGUUCCGGGCAUCUUGUGAAUAGUUCUGCUCCUCAAUGCUGGGUUCCUCCUGAGCGUGGAGAGGUUUUGCGCUGAUAGUGAAGUCCUCCAACAGGAAACCUCCUGCCAGUUCCACAGCACCAGCAUGCCUCGUGACAAAGAAUGAGGUCGUGAAGCAUGAGACAGUGAAGCUCCACUCGACUACAGAGUGAACUAGUCCCCACCAUAGGACUUAAGGACCUGCCCCUGAAAGGGCUUACUGGGGCAUGUCGGAGCUGCAGGCCGGUCUCCCUGUGGGGUCCCAAGGCACAGAUGUUCUAAUUUCAUCUUGAAAAAAAAAAAACGUUGAGGGCCCCUCCUUUCACCAAACCUACCCACACGUACUCACUCUUGUUUUGAGGCCUUUCCUCUGACCUUGUCUCCCACCAGGAACACUCUUGAUUUGUUCUGUCUAAACUAUAUUUUAAAAUGACACUGCUUGCUGGGCAGCGUGGAGCAGCCCAUAAUCCCAGUGGCUUGGGAGGCUGACGCAGGAGGAUUGCAAGUUCAAGGUCAGCCUCAGCAACUUAGUGUGACCCUAAGUAACUCAGACCCUGUGUCUAAAUAAAAUACAGAAAAGGACUGGGGUUGUGGCUCACUGGUUAAGCACUCCUGGGUUCAGUCCCUAGUAACAAAAUAUAUAUAUAAGAUAAAAUAACACCUCUUCCAUGAAGCCUCCUUAGAUUUUUCUGGUCCACACCUAGGUCUGCUGCUGAAUUAAUCUCACAUUAUUAUAGUCCUAAGAGUAUGAAAGCUCCUCUUCCUUGCUUACCUGUUAUAUUCCUGGUAGGACGCAGGUGCCUUAAGUAGAUUACCUCAUUUGAGGCUCAGACAAUCCCAUAAGAGAAGAAGCAUCUUCAUGUUGUAUAUGAAAAAAAUAGCAAACUAGGACCAACCAGCAGAAAGCCACAGGCUAGCACUGGAACUUGAUUUUAUCAGGCCAAACUUUGUUUCCAAUAAAAGGUUAGUUAAGUUUCUCCAAUUUUUGGUACAGUUUCGUCUCAGUAUCUUUGUAGCCAACUUUCACAAUAUGCAGAAAAUUGAACAUUUUUAUAAACCCCCAGCUGGAUUCUAUCAUGUCUUUACUAGACUGGUUUCAUUUCGUGUCUCUUUUUGUUUCCCUGCUUUCGUGGGGAUGGAACCCAGGUGCACUCUGUCAUCAGGCCCCGGCCUUUUUUACAUUUUAUUUUGAGACAGGUCUCGCUAAAUUGCUGAGACUGGCCUGGAACUUGUGAUCCUCCUGCCUCGGCCUCCGCCCUGGGGCUGCAGACUAGUGGUUUCGAGAUUCAUCCACACUGCUGCACCAUGCUCCUUGUGCUUUCCUUUGUAUUGUCCAGCAGGAAUCCAGCGUAUGGACAUACUACGAGUCAUCUGUUCUAGAGAUGCACAUCUGGGCCAUUCCUUUUUAUUAUUUUUUUUUCUUGGCUACUAGAAAUAAAGCCUAUGAAUAUUCUGGUGCAAAAAAAAAUUUUUUUGUAAACAUGCUUUCAUUUAUCUCCAAUAAAUACGGUGUAAUUUUGA
Sciurus carolinensis (gray squirrel) is the source of this 4773-nucleotide long non-coding RNA. RefSeq lists it as uncharacterized. NCBI's taxonomy places the organism in Eukaryota, Metazoa, Chordata, Mammalia, Rodentia, Sciuridae. The transcript has 2 exons. The record is from RefSeq and is a predicted model, not a curated record.